This 440-nucleotide ribosomal RNA is filed under the name uncultured bacterium. RNAcentral describes it as "partial 16S ribosomal RNA". It matches the Rfam family "Bacterial small subunit ribosomal RNA", at positions 338 to 795 of the family's 1533-position model. The record is from RNAcentral.
CCUACGGGGGGCAGCAGUGGGGAAUAUUGCACAAUGGGGGAAACCCUGAUGCAGCGACGCCGCGUGAGUGAAGAAGUAUCUCGGUAUGUAAAGCUCUAUCAGCAGGGAAGAAAAUGACGGUACCUGACUAAGAAGCCCCGGCUAACUACGUGCCAGCAGCCGCGGUAAUACGUAGGGGGCAAGCGUUAUCCGGAUUUACUGGGUGUAAAGGGAGCGUAGACGGCGCUGCAAGUCCGGAGGGAAAGCACAUGGCUUAACCAUGGUACUGCUCUGGAAACGGUGGAGCUUGAGUGCGGGAGGGGCAGGAGGAAGUCGUAGGGUAGCGGUGAAAUGAGGAGAGAUUAGGAGGAAAAGCGGCGGUGAAGGCGGACUGCUGGACAGUAACGGACGUUGAGGCUCGAAAGCGUGGGGAGCAAACAGGAUGAGAGACCCGGGUAGGC